CCUACGGGCGGCAGCAGUGGGGAAUAUUGGACAAUGGGGGCAACCCUGAUCCAGCCAUGCCGCGUGUGUGAAGAAGGCCCUCGGGUUGUAAAGCACUUUCAGUGAGGAAGAACGCCUGGUGGUUAAUACCCAUCAGGAAAGACAUCACUCACAGAAGAAGCACCGGCUAACUCCGUGCCAGCAGCCGCGGUAAUACGGAGGGUGCGAGCGUUAAUUGGAAUUACUGGGCGUAAAGCGCGCGUAGGUGGCUUGAUAAGCCGGUUGUGAAAGCCCCGGGCUCAACCUGGGAACGGCAUCCGGAACUGUCAAGCUAGAGUGCAGGAGAGGAAGGUAGAAUUCCCGGUGUAGCGGUGAAAUGCGUAGAGAUCGGGAGGAAUACCAGUGGCGAAGGCGGCCUUCUGGACUGACACUGACACUGAGGUGCGAAAGCGUGGGUAGCAAACAGGAUUAGAUACCCUGGUAGUC
This 465-nucleotide ribosomal RNA is filed under the name Vreelandella stevensii. RNAcentral's name for it is "partial 16S ribosomal RNA". It matches the Rfam family "Bacterial small subunit ribosomal RNA", at positions 338 to 795 of the family's 1533-position model. Lineage: Bacteria; Pseudomonadati; Pseudomonadota; Gammaproteobacteria; Oceanospirillales; Halomonadaceae. The record is from RNAcentral.